CCCUUAGAUGUCCUGGGCCGCACGCGUGCUACACUGACGCAUACAGCGAGCACUUUCCAGUUCCGAGAGGCUACUGGUAAUCAUCAAUAUGCGUCGUGAUGGGGAUAGAUCUUUGGAAUUCUGGAUCUUGAACGAGGAAUGCCUAGUAAGUGCAGUUCAUCAGGCUGUACUGAUUACGUCCCUGCCCUUUGUACACACCGCCCGUCGCUCCUACCGAUUUCGAGUGGUCCGGUGAACCUUCUGGACUGAGUUCGCAAGAACUCGGGAAGUUAAGUAAACCUUAUCACUUAGAGGAAGGAGAAGUCGUAACA
Molecule: ribosomal RNA, 311 nt
Filed under: uncultured eukaryote
Lineage: Eukaryota
Description: partial 18S ribosomal RNA
Rfam family: Eukaryotic small subunit ribosomal RNA
Source: RNAcentral